ACACGCACGCUUCGCCCCCAGGAAUGACCUCAUCGCUCCGGCAGCUCCACUCACAGACCCCACCUACCACAGGGAACGGGGGCGGGUGCCAGGGUCCGCGCAAGCGCACAAGAGUGGCCUCUGGCCGGAGGCGAGGGCGGGAAGGUGCGGGAAGUGCGCGUGCGCGGAGCCGGGGUCAGCCUGGGCCCGGGGCCGCUUGCAGCCGGUGGAGUCCUUGUGGAGCCGGCAAUCCAGGCUCCCCUCCCAGACCCCGCGCAGAAUUAGCCUCUCUCUGCCGCCGGGAAAUCGGCAAUUAGAACGCUCCUUGCGCGCGGCACCCAGGCAGCCCUCGAGAAUGCCUGCGCUGUGGCCUGCCCAUCCUCGCCCUUCCCAUACGCCCUCGGCCCCGCGCUCACCACGUUCGUGUCCCGCUCCACCGCGGGUUCCCAGCCCAGGUCCCGGGGCCCGCAACAGUCCAGGCAGACGAGCGCGCGGCAGCGGUAGUGGCAGGUGAACUUGCAAUCUGCAGAGAGGCCUGGCCGUGAGGCGGAGGCGCCCCAGGUCGGGAAAUGUCCCGGAGAUUGAAGGGAAGCCCCAGGGAGAGGGCAGCUGCCCGCCAGGCUCCGCAGGCCCGACCUAUCUCAGUGGGUUACCUCACACUGCUAUGCGGACUCUAAUGUUGGCCACCCUGGGCGUCUAGAAAGCGGCCGGAAGGCCACAGGCAGAGGCCUGCUCAACAGUUGGAUCUCCAUCGCCUAGCGCAGAACUUCCCCUUUCCUCCUUGGCAAUUAAAAAAACAACAACAAAAAA
RNAcentral lists this non-coding RNA (789 nucleotides) under Pongo abelii (Sumatran orangutan). Lineage: Eukaryota; Metazoa; Chordata; Mammalia; Primates; Hominidae. The record is from RNAcentral.